AAAUAAUAUGAUGAUUAUUAUAUCGCCCCAGUCUGAAUAAAUCUGUUGAUCGAUUUCUCUGAUUAUAU
This is a small nucleolar RNA of Vanessa tameamea, 68 nucleotides long. The record is from RefSeq and is a predicted model, not a curated record. NCBI's taxonomy places the organism in Eukaryota, Metazoa, Arthropoda, Insecta, Lepidoptera, Nymphalidae.